This 328-nucleotide ribosomal RNA is filed under the name uncultured eukaryote. RNAcentral describes it as "partial 18S ribosomal RNA". It matches the Rfam family "Eukaryotic small subunit ribosomal RNA", at positions 1470 to 1796 of the family's 1831-position model. The record is from RNAcentral.
CCCUUAGAUGUUCUGGGCUGCACGCGCGCUACACUGAUGCAUCCAACGAGUUUUUGACCUGAGCCGAUAGGCCUAGGUAAUCUUGUGAGUAUGCAUCGUGAUGGGGAUAGAUUAUUGCAAUUAUUAAUCUUCAACGAGGAAUGCCUAGUAGGCGCGAGUCAACAGCUCGUGCCGAUUACGUCCCUGCCCUUUGUACACACCGCCCGUCGCUCCUACCGAUUGGGUGUGCUGGUGAAAUGUUCGGAUCGGCCGUUUGUCGCGGUUUCCGCGGCUCGUGGCUGAGAAGUUCAUUAAACCCUCCCACCUAGAGGAAGGAGAAGUCGUAACA